GACGGACGCUGGCGGCGUGCUUAACACAUGCAAGUCGAACGGUGAAGCUCCAGCUUGCUGGAGUGGAUCAGUGGCGAACGGGUGAGUAACACGUGAGCAACCUGCCCCUGACUCUGGAAUAAGCGCUGGAAACGGCGUCUAAUACUGGAUACGAGAAGGGUCCGCAUGGGCACUUUCUGGAAAGUUCUUCGGUUGGGGAUGGGCUCGCGGCCUAUCAGCUUGUUUGUGAGGUAAUGGCUCACCAAGGCGACGACGGGUAGCCGGCCUGAGAGGGCGACCGGCCACACUGGGCCUGAGACACGGCCCAGACUCCUACGGGAGGCAGCAGUGGGGAAUAUUGCACAAUGGGCGCAAGCCUGAUGCAGCGACGCCGCGUGAGGGAUGACGGCCUUCGGGUUGUAAACCUCUUUCAGCAGGGAAGAAGCGAAAGUGACGGUACCUGCAGAAGAAGCACCGGCUAACUACGUG
Molecule: ribosomal RNA, 468 nt
Filed under: uncultured bacterium
Lineage: Bacteria
Description: partial 16S ribosomal RNA
Rfam family: Bacterial small subunit ribosomal RNA
Source: RNAcentral